Molecule: ribosomal RNA, 406 nt
Filed under: uncultured bacterium
Lineage: Bacteria
Description: partial 16S ribosomal RNA
Rfam family: Bacterial small subunit ribosomal RNA
Source: RNAcentral
AUUGAACGCUGGCGGCAGGCCUAACACAUGCAAGUCGAACGAGUGGCGGACGGGUGAGUAAUGUCUGGGACACUGCCUGAUGGAGGGGGAUAACUUCUGGAAACUGUAGCUUAUACCGCAUACCCUCAGAUGUCCCCAGAUGGGAUUAGCUAGUUGGUGGGGUAACGGCUCACCAAGGCGACGAUCCCUAGCUGGUCUGAGAGGAUGACCAGCAACACUGGAACUGAGACACGGUCCAGACUCCUACGGGAGGCAGCAGUGGGGAAUAUUGCACAAUGGGCGCAAGCCUGAUACAGCCAUGCCGCGUGUAUGAAGAAGGCCUUCGGGUUGUAAAGUACUUUCAGCGGGGAGGCGUUACCCGCAGAAGAAGCACCGGCUAACUCCGUGCCAGCAGCCGCGGUAAUAC